UGCUCAGUGGCACAAUGGUACUGCGCUCGACUGUUAAUCGAGAGUGUGUUGGUUCGAUUCCAACCUGAGCAG
This 72-nucleotide transfer RNA is filed under the name Pediococcus claussenii. Its description in RNAcentral is "tRNA-Asn". It matches the Rfam family "tRNA". From Rfam's summary of the family: Transfer RNA (tRNA) molecules are approximately 80 nucleotides in length. Their secondary structure includes four short double-helical elements and three loops (D, anti-codon, and T loops). Further hydrogen bonds mediate the characteristic L-shaped molecular structure. tRNAs have two regions of fundamental functional importance: the anti-codon, which is responsible for specific mRNA codon recognition, and the 3' end, to which the tRNAs corresponding amino acid is attached (by aminoacyl-tRNA synthetases). tRNAs cope with the degeneracy of the genetic code in two manners: having more than one tRNA (with a specific anti-codon) for a particular amino acid; and 'wobble' base-pairing, i.e. permitting non-standard base-pairing at the 3rd anti-codon position. The record is from RNAcentral. RNAcentral also lists the same sequence under 1 other name. Lineage: Bacteria; Bacillati; Bacillota; Bacilli; Lactobacillales; Lactobacillaceae.